AUUUUGUAUAAGCAUAAGACCAAAGCCACUUUUUCUUGUGUCUCCAUGCUUUGUAUUUGAGUUACUCUUGUUUUGAGAGAGAGAGAGAAAACAUGGUUGCUUGUUUCUGUCUACUGUACAUGUUCUUCAAUGAAGUAAGAACUUUUGCAGACCACAUAAUCUCAAGUCUAGUUUCAAGAAUGAGACUCAAAACAUUUAUAAUAGUGUUUUGUGCGUUGGUUGAUUAUCAUUGCAGCGCCGGUUCUUUGGAGAAUCAACACCAUUUGGUAAGAAGUCGCAUAAGACGGCUGAGAUAUUGGGUUACCUGAACUCUCAGCAGGCGUUAGCUGAUUAUGCAAUCCUGAUUAGAAGCUUGAAGCAGAAUCUAUCAUCCGAGGCAUCACCUGUGGUUGUAUUUGGUGGCUCGUAUGGUGGAAGUAGGCUCACACCCACCUCUCUCAAUGGAAUAACAAAUCAUUACUCAUAAACUAUGUUCUGUUGUAUGUUAUGUCUUAAGACAGUUCUCGGUCCUUGCAGCGUGGUAUAGGCUCAAGUAUCCCCACAUAGCAAUCGGAGCAUUAGCAUCCUCUGCUCCAAUUCUUCAAUUCGAUAACAUUGUGCCAUUAACAAGCUUCUAUGAUGCAAUAUCUCAGGAUUUUAAGGUGUUGUAUGAUCUGUUUGCGGGAAAUAUCAUACAAAAGUGAUGUUACAAUGAACUUAUUGUGAAUUAAUUACAAGCAGGAUGCGAGUGUUAACUGUUUCAAAGUCAUAAAGAGAAGCUGGGAAGAGCUAGAUGCAGUUUCCAACAUGAAGCAUGGCUUGCCAGAACUCAGUAAAAAGUUGAAGACUUUCUUUUAGAUAGCAGAACACAAGAUGAAUAUGUUAUGAAACUAUAAAUAACAUAAUGUUAUGUCACUGAGUGGAAACAGGCGUGUACAGAGAUGGUGAUGACAAUGAGCUGCUCAAACGAGAGCAUGUUCCCACCGUACGAAAAGUGACUUUGAGAAAAUUGAAGAACAGUUCAUGAGUAGAUGCGGAGUCAAGCCUCGACCACAUUGGAUCACCACAGAGUUUGGCGGGAAGGGUUAGUUUUGUAUUGUGUCUUCUCUCAUUUCCUUCCCAUCUAUCGGAUCAGAUUUAACAAAAUGAGAUUCGUGGUAUUGUUUUUGUCAUAUAUUUUCACGGUUCUGGAGAACAUCUCGAGCAGUAUUUUCGCGCUUGUGACCAAGAAAACUAACAUUCUUCUGUCAAAAUGGUGGUGUUGAGAAAAAAAUUGAAACUCAACAUUGUUUUGCAUGAAACAGGUGCGCACCAUGCGGAUGGAUCUCAGGGCAGCUACGAAAGGCGACCCGGAGUGGCUGAAAGAGCAGAGGAAGCAAGAGGUGGCCAUUAUAGAAAAGUGGAUCAGUGAGUAUUACAUAUAUUUGAAAGAAGAAGACUAGGUUUAAGAAGACCAAUAGAAAGCCAAAAGGUCAUUUUGCACAAGAUUAGCAAACAAAGACUUUUUGUGUGUGUGUUUGUCAUGUAGUUUGAGAUUCAUCAGUUUCAGAGUAAAAAAUCAAAACUUGAUGUCUAUGAAACUAAACAAUUGUGAAGUUUUGAGUGAAAGAUAUGGAAACUAAAAGAAUCGCAAGAAAAUUUCAUUACUUGAACGACAAAGAAAUACAAGACCGGUUUGGUUUAAGAGACCCACAAACGACACUGUAUAAAGCAGAGACAUCAUCGUUAAAUAUUCAAGGCCGGUUUGGUUUAAGUGGAAAAAUAUAACCGUUAGAAAAUGCAGGAUGACCGGUUCAAAUUCGAAAUAAUCGAACCAAGUUUUUAAAAUAUAACCGUUAGAAAACGUGUCUUCAGUAAACGCCUCCGUUAAUCAAAUAUAGACGCGUUAAGAAUAAUCGUGUGCGUUGUCAAUUUAUUUCCACAUUGUUCACAGUUCCUCUUUCUGGGAAGGAUUCUCUCAGAUCGAUUCUUCCAAAAUUUGCAAAACUGGAACAGAAUCCGAUUGCCAUCUUAGAUUAGUUGAUUCCGCCUAAAACCCGAUGUGAUUGUUUGGGCUCCUCUCACUCGUCAUCGUUGAGAUGAUAUAUUAUCGCUUGGAGGAGGAAACCCACCGGCCUUUUAGUUGCUGCUUUACAUACCUGGAAGCUUACUCCGCCUGAAACCAUCGUCACCAAGGUAUCUGCUUCAGAAGGUGUUCAAAACCAAAUUGUUCAAGAUUUUGAGGAGAUUUCAAGUGUAGCGGACUUUUGUGGCAGGUAUGUCAUAUGUGCUUUUCAAACUUGCUUGUAAUUAGUUUCUGAAAUUCAAACAGAUGUGAAAUCAAGAUUAAUUUCAUUUCCACUAGACACGUGCUUGAAUAAGCAUCCAAAAUCUUAACAUAUUUAUGUGUUAGCCUUUAUACUUAUGUGAGAGCUUGAAGUAUAUAUGCCAAUAUUGAUUUUCUCAGGUAUGUGCUUCUCUUAUGGAUGCCCAAAAGAGAUUUUUCUAAUGUUUACAAUUAUUUGGUGAAGUAUGGAUUUAUCACUCUCUUUAUAUUGUAUAACUUUGGAUUUGAAUCAACGUUUCAGAGUAACCACAUCUCUGUUUCAUGAAGAAAACACUGGUCACUUGAAAUUCUGCAGGUCUAUUUUCUUCUGCAUCAACCGAUUUCAAAUCCUAAUGUGGUGUAUCUCAAACCUCCAUACAUGGGUUCUGCACAAUCACUUAAAAGUACAAAACAUACAUACAUAGGUACAAACAUGCAUUCAUAUAUACGUACUUUCAUACUGUAUACAUGCAUAAUUGCUUACAUACAUCAUUGUUUAUUUGCUUUCUUGAUUUUUUGUUUGAUUCUUUUGGUAACUUACUUGCUUCUUUAUGUACCCUUUCAUUCAUACUUCUUCCCUUGCUUGCUUUCUUGAUGUUCUGCUUCUUUAUUGACUUCCCUGAUUCAUUGUUUCACUUCUUUACUUGCUUUAUUGAUUUGUUGUUUUUUUGUUCCUUGUGUGUUUUAUCUUCCUUGCUUCCUUAUGUUUUUUUUUGUUCCUAUUUGGAUGUGUUUUUGCGUACCUGGUUGUUUAUAUAUAUUAUUUUGCGAUUCCUUACACACUUCUUCUUUUUUUCAUCUUUGAUCUCGUGUCUGUCGUUCUGUGGAAACUUAUUGCUGAUAUCCAUUGAUAAACAGUUGAUUUAAUUUUUUAUACUGGUACAUUUAUAUUUUGUGCUUAUGUUGACAGCAAUAAAUAUUGUUUGGAAAGUAGUUAUUAUCUGUAUUCUAUGUUUGUACAUCAUAACAUCUCUCAUUUUAUAAAUAGAUAUAUCUUGGAGUUUAUAUAAAUAUUUAUCUCGUUUGACUAACAAUACCUAUUAUCUAUGUUUUGGUGCUUGUGUUCAUUUAUGAAAUGGAUGUAUCUUGGAGUCUCUUAUAGAUAUCUACUUUGGGUGCAAGUAUGACUCAUGUAUAUUUUGGUAGAAUUUUCCUUGAGUCUGGUAUGUACUUGUUUUGCGUCAUGCUCGAAAUCCUUGGUGAUUAUUCCAAAAUAUUACAAUGACAUGAUCCUCACAAUCUAAUUGGUUGUUAUUUGAGUAAUGUUAGAAUUAUGCAUAUGAUUCUUACAUUUAUGAUUAUUGUGUAAUUUUUUCUCUUUAAAAUGUGUAUCAGUUGACUUGACUUUUAUAAUAUAAUGCUUGGAAAUAUUUUCAGUUAUGGUAUUAGACUAGUAUCUCUCACUUUGUCUUAACAUAUAUAGUUAAUUGGAACUUGGUUUCUUUGUCAAAACAGAGUUCAUUGUCUCUAUGUUUUUUUCUACUUGAAUCUUUUUUAAGUAAUGUUUACUGCUGUUUGUUGUUUGCCAAAAUGGACAAUUUUCAGCGUGAGUUUUGUUGAUAAACAAUGAUUUUUUUUUUUUUUUGGCUUUGUGUUAAGAUACAAGUUUUUUCAUGUAAACACAUUUGUUGCUUAUACGAUCAUCUUGGUCAUUCUCUGUUAAGAUUAUUUUUGAUCAUGAUAUCCUCAGUGUGGUAGGAUUGAUAACCAUUUUUCAUCUUAAACUCUUGGAAUAGUUGGUGUGGUAAAAAAAUAUAAAAAUUUAUUGAGAAUAUUAUUCACUAGCGCGGAUUUUUGAUCUAAAUUUUAAAUUUUUUUUUAAAAGAUACUGAAAAUAUAAAUAAUUGCAUUUUCCUCAAUUGAUUCCCGUGUGUGGGCUUGUGUCUCCCUCUUGUAGGAUUAGUCUCUCAUAUAACUUUCGAGCUUCUGUUCUGGCUUUGUAUUUCAUCUUGAUCAAUAUAAGUAUCCUUCAAUAAAAAAUAUAUAUGUAUAAGAUAGAUGUGUGAUGUCCCAUCAUGACUUGUUAUAACUGAAUAUAACUGAACAUUAUAUUGGCCACAUUAAGUGUAACAACACCAUCUCUAUCUGCUUAUCAAAGAGUAAGGGACACUUUGUUGGAUGUUCUGCUAUUUAAGCAGAUGCUUGUAAAAGGUUCUUUAAGCGCAAGAAUCUACAUGUCUUCCCUCAAAAAGACAAUAACAGUGGAGCAAGACACCUAAAGCAAUUGAAGAUGGUAAUCCCAUCGCUUCAUCAAAUAUGGAGACCAUUUCUUCAGUUGAUCCUAAUGUCAUUUUUGUUGCUGCUGGAGCUCCUCCUUCAUGUUCGGUCUGUAAUAUCUUUCAACUUUCGUGAUAACCAAGGUGAUCUCACACCGGCUCAAACACUUGACCUUCUCUAUUGUUUUUUAUUUUUUAUUUUUGUCAACCUUGACCUUCUCUGUUCAAAUUACUAUUUAAUUGUGUAUAUAAUAUCAGAGAAAGUAAAGGAAAAAGCUAAUAAAAUAUUAUAAUCUUAGGCAAAAUCUUAAUUGAUAAAUAUUUUAUGUA
Molecule: long non-coding RNA, 4830 nt
Organism: Brassica napus (rape)
Lineage: Eukaryota; Viridiplantae; Streptophyta; Magnoliopsida; Brassicales; Brassicaceae
Exons: 7
Source: RefSeq, a predicted model, not a curated record